Molecule: long non-coding RNA, 1711 nt
Organism: Oncorhynchus tshawytscha (Chinook salmon)
Lineage: Eukaryota; Metazoa; Chordata; Actinopteri; Salmoniformes; Salmonidae
Source: Ensembl
CUUUUGUUCUCUUUUCAUAGACCUACAGCCAGUAAGUCCUUGUCAACACCACCACACUACUAACACAACUACACACAUGUACAAACAAAUGUUGUAAUUAUCUUUUCAUUGUGUUUCUGUUGUAGACAACUUGGUGAUUGGAGCUGUGAACAGUGGAGGCAUGGUGGAUUCUGGGGAUGCUGGGAUGUAUUCUCUGAGCAUCUCUGUACCGUCCACAUUUUUGGCCUCAGGACCUGUUGGUGUGGAUACACAGGGAUCUGCAGAUUAAGAUAUAACCCUCCAGGACACCUACAGCACCCAAUGUCACAGGAAGACCAAAUAUCAUCAAGGACAUCAACCACACGAGCUAAGGCCUAUACACCCCGCUACCAUCCAGAAGGCGAGAGGGUGAUGGAGCUGGAUGCUGAUGAAAACCUUCACAAAUUCCUCUUUUUGGAUGAAGCAGGCUUCAACCUGGCCAAGACAAGGAGGAGAGGUUGGAAUCUCAUUGGCCAGCGGGCAACCAACCAAGUACCUGGACAACAUGGGGCCAACAUCACCAUGUGUGCGGCUAUAUCAGAAGACGGUGUGGUGGGACGCAGACCUCGUAUUGGAUCAUAUAAAGCAGCUCUCCUUGUGUAACCUUCUUGAUGAGAUAAAUCGGGUCUGUAGAGCUGAUGUCGUGACCUAUGUCAUUGCGUGGGUUAAUGUCAGGUUCUACCAUGCUCAAAUGGUGCAAGCACGGUUUCAGGCCCAUCCACAAUUUAUCACCCUGUACUUACCCCUAUACUCUCCUUUCCUUAACCCGAUUGAGACAUUUUUCUCCAAGUGGAGGUGAAAGGUAUAUGAUAGGCGCCCUCAGGAACAAGCCACCCUUCUCCAGGCCAUGGAUGAUGUAUGCAAUGACAUCACGGCAGACCAGUGUCAGGCCUGGAUUCACCCUGCCCGAAGAUUCUUCCCAAGAUGUUUGGCCAAUGAAAACAUCCAUUGAUGAGAACCUUUGGCCAAAUCCACAAGACAGGUUUGAUGGAAAUAUAGAAGUACAGUAAUCAAUCCUUUGUUUUGCUUUUUACAGUAAGCCAGGUGAGGAACACUGCAGUUGACAUUUUACUGUAGUGUUUUUCUUUUUUGAAGCUAAUAAUUUUUGCUUUGAUUCAAGGAGACCUGACCUAUGUUGUGAUUUUAUUGUAUUUCAUCAAUACCUUUCAGAUUUUGUUCAAUGAUUCCAAUGUGUCUGUAGUAUUCUCUUUGCUAGUCAUUUUACAGUGAUGUAUUACGUGUAGUACCAUAAUGAAACACGUAUCACAUAUUUUGUACUACAAUAUUUAAUGAUUGUAUGAACAACUACACAGUGAAACUAUUGGUAUAUUGUGUGUGGGUGAUCUAAAUUAAUGUUCCUAUGGUAUUUCAUGAUGAAAGAGUUAUUUGAACCAGUGCAAGGUUUCUUUAAAGAUAUGAAUGCACAAUACAUUGUUUUGAACAUUGGACAGCCUGUGUAACAAGUGAUGACCGUUUUGAGUUUUGUGUCUAGAGUUUUGAAAAAUGACCACAAGAUUCUGAAAUUAGUGCCAAAGGGAUUGUAAAAAACUGUAAAUAGCCAUCACUAAUUGGCUUCCACCCGGUUACGCAACCCUGCACCUUAGAGGCUGCUGCCCUAUAUACAUAUACUUGGAGUGACUGGCCACUUUAAUAAUGGAACACUAGUCACUUUAAUAAUGUUUACAUACUGCUU